AACGAACGCUGGCGGCAGGCUUAACACAUGCAAGUCGAACGCGCCCUUCGGGGCGAGUGGCAGACGGGUGAGUAACGCGUGGGAACCUACCUUUUGGUACGGAAUAACUCAGGGAAACUUGAGCUAAUACCGUAUGUGCCCUUCGGGGGAAAGAUUUAUCGCCAAAGGAUGGGCCCGCGUCGGAUUAGCUAGUUGGUGGGGUAAUGGCCUACCAAGGCGACGAUCCGUAGCUGGUCUGAGAGGAUGAUCAGCCACACUGGGACUGAGACACGGCCCAGACUCCUACGGGAGGCAGCAGUGGGGAAUAUUGGACAAUGGGGGCAACCCUGAUCCAGCCAUGCCGCGUGAGUGAUGAAGGCCUUAGGGUUGUAAAGCUCUUUCGCCGGUGAAGAUAAUGACGGUAACCGGAGAAGAAGCCCCGGCUAACUUCGUGCCAGCCGCCGCAGUAA
This 449-nucleotide ribosomal RNA is filed under the name uncultured bacterium. RNAcentral describes it as "partial 16S ribosomal RNA". It matches the Rfam family "Bacterial small subunit ribosomal RNA", at positions 29 to 523 of the family's 1533-position model. The record is from RNAcentral.